AGCUACGGCCAUACAAUGUUGAAAGCACCGGAUCCCGUCCGAUCUCCGCAGUUAAGUAACAUCUGGACCAGUCAGUACUAUGGUGGGGGACCACAUGGGAAUACUGGUUGCUGUAGUUUUUG
RNAcentral lists this ribosomal RNA (122 nucleotides) under Mucor irregularis. Lineage: Eukaryota; Fungi; Mucoromycota; Mucoromycetes; Mucorales; Mucoraceae. The record is from RNAcentral.